This 537-nucleotide long non-coding RNA is filed under the name Mytilus galloprovincialis (Mediterranean mussel). Lineage: Eukaryota; Metazoa; Mollusca; Bivalvia; Mytilida; Mytilidae. The record is from RNAcentral.
AACUGGAUUAAAUUGAGAAUAGAGAAAAGUGACCUAAAUAAUUAAAGAAUACAGAAUUUAAGCCUACCCUCUUUCCCAUCCAGCACCUUGCAGAAGAGGGAUGCAAUCCACAUUUUUUAAUAUAGAAAUCAAAAGAUUAUGCUAAUAGAAUAAUAAAGUUGAUGUACAUGUGGAUAUUACAAAUAUGGGAGAAAGAAUUUAAAUUAUGAAAUGAUUUGCUACCACAACCUACAAAAUUUUUCUAUUAAAUAUUAUAAUGAGAAUAGUCAAUAAGCAUUAACUGGAAUUCCUUCAAUGCUUUAGAAAAUAUUGUAUGUAAUGGAUACCUUUCCAUCAUUUAGAAAGAACACAACCAUUGUUUUUGAAUACGGAAGCCAAAAAUAUCAUUGAGAUCAGAUGUACAGGCCAAAUGUGUAUAUAACCCAUUAAAGCACAUACUUUCUCCUUACAUAUCAUCACCAAACUUAUAAUGUCACAUAAAUAAGUAAUAUUUACAAUUCAUUUAGACUUUUCAAAUAUCAAAAUUCUCAUAUAAUA